Molecule: long non-coding RNA, 801 nt
Filed under: Danio rerio (zebrafish)
Lineage: Eukaryota; Metazoa; Chordata; Actinopteri; Cypriniformes; Danionidae
Description: lncRNA si:dkeyp-9a1.7 (ENSDARG00000097985.3)
Source: RNAcentral
UGUCUUGAGGAACUUGUCUUUGGAUGAUGCUGAGCAGGUCUUUCUUUCUGGUAAAGAUUUUUACAGUGAAGUAGAAGAAUUUAACAGAUGACAGAUUGACAAGAAACUGACAAAAGAAGGGAGACCAUUUAAUAGUCCCUUUAUUUAUCAGGGGUUGCCACAGCGGAAUGAACCGCCAACUUAUCCAGCAUAUGUUUUACACAGUGGAUGCCCUUCCAGUCACAACCCAGUACUGGGAAACACCCAUUUACACUCAUACACCAGAACACGGGGAGAACAUGCAAACUCCACACAAAAAUUACCACUGGCCCAGCCGAGGCUUGAACCAGCAACCUUCUUGGUGUGAGGCGACGGUGCUAACCUAUGUGCUCUAUGCGGGUGAGUGGGCUUGACAAACCACCUGGAGGACACACUCUUGCUGUCUUAAUGCACCAGACAUUUUGUUAUAAAUAAUCAUGUGCGUUUCAUGUUUAAUAAUAAAACUGCUAUUUUAUCUCAUAGUACUUAAUUUUUGUCUUGAUAUUUAAAAUCUCUUGUUUAAAUACACUAUGAACAGCAGCUGCGCUAAUUAUUUUAUUUGUUCCUUAUUUCCACCAGGGAUAUUCAUCCCAGGCCCUCUAGAGAUGUGAAGAGAUGAUGCCACCAUAGAGGACUUCUAGAUGUAUCCAUACUCCUGGACCAGACCGUAUCAUGAGCAGAUGCAAUGGUGGUCAUGGAGAAGUGGAGAGCAUGAGACUGAUUAAUGAAAGACCCAAGUGACAGAUGAGUGCCCGCAUUGAUCCUGUGGUCCAGCCUGAAAAC